Molecule: ribosomal RNA, 465 nt
Filed under: uncultured bacterium
Lineage: Bacteria
Description: partial 16S ribosomal RNA
Rfam family: Bacterial small subunit ribosomal RNA
Source: RNAcentral
CUACGGGGUGCAGCAGUGAGGAAUUUUGCGCAAUGGGGGGAACCCUGACGCAGCAACGCCGUGUGAGUGAAGAAGGCCUUUGGGUCGUAAGGCUCUGUCAACUGGGAAGAAGUUACUGUGCUUUAAUAGAGUGCAGUAUUGACGGUACCAGUGGAGGAAGCGUCGGCUAACUCCGUGCCAGCAGCCGCGGUAACACGGGGGACGCAAGCGUUAUUCGGAAUUAUUGGGCGUAAAGGGCGCGUAGGCGGUCUUGUCGGUCAGGUGUGAAAGCCCGGGGCUCAACCCCGGACGUGCACUUGAAACAGCAAGACUUGAGUACGGGAGAGGAAAGCGGAAUUCCUGGUGUAGAGGUGAAAUUCGUAGAUAUCAGGAGGAACACCGAUGGCGAAGGCAGCUUUCUGGACCGAAACUGACGCUGAGGCGCGAAGGCGUGGGUAGCGAACGGGAUUAGAUACCCUUGUAGUC